UACGAAGGGGGCUAGCGUUGCUCGGAAUCACUGGGCGUAAAGGGUGCGUAGGCGGGUCUUUAAGUCAGGGGUGAAAUCCUGGAGCUCAACUCCAGAACUGCCUUUGAUACUGAAGAUCUUGAGUUCGGGAGAGGUGAGUGGAACUGCGAGUGUAGAGGUGAAAUUCGUAGAUAUUCGCAAGAACACCAGUGGCGAAGGCGGCUCACUGGCCCGAUACUGACGCUGAGGCACGAAAGCUAGGGGAGCGAAUGGG
RNAcentral lists this ribosomal RNA (253 nucleotides) under uncultured bacterium. Its description in RNAcentral is "partial 16S ribosomal RNA". It matches the Rfam family "Bacterial small subunit ribosomal RNA", at positions 524 to 776 of the family's 1533-position model. The record is from RNAcentral.